RNAcentral lists this ribosomal RNA (860 nucleotides) under Lactococcus garvieae. Its description in RNAcentral is "bacterial SSU rRNA". It matches the Rfam family "Bacterial small subunit ribosomal RNA", at positions 537 to 1385 of the family's 1533-position model. The record is from RNAcentral. Lineage: Bacteria; Bacillati; Bacillota; Bacilli; Lactobacillales; Streptococcaceae.
CGCGGUUGUCGGAUUUAUUGGGCGUAAAGCGAGCGCAGGUGGUUUCUUAAGUCUGAUGUAAAAGGCAGUGGCUCAACCAUUGUGUGCAUUGGAAACUGGGAGACUUGAGUGCAGGAGAGGAGAGUGGAAUUCCAUGUGUAGCGGUGAAAUGCGUAGAUAUAUGGAGGAACACCGGAGGCGAAAGCGGCUCUCUGGCCUGUAACUGACACUGAGGCUCGAAAGCGUGGGGAGCAAACAGGAUUAGAUACCCUGGUAGUCCACGCCGUAAACGAUGAGUGCUAGCUGUAGGGAGCUAUAAGUUCUCUGUGGCGCAGCUUAACGCAUUAGGACCUCCCCCCGGGGGGGUACGACCGCAGGGUGGAAAUUCAAGGAAAUUGAAGGGGGCCCCCCCACAACCGUGGAACCAUGUGUUUAAUUUCGGAGGCAGCGGCGAGGACCCUUACCAGGCCUUGAAAAUAUCCGGGCUAUCCUAAGAAAUAGGGGGUUCCUUUGGGAACAGGGAAAACGGGGGGGGAAGGUUUGUGGCCAGUCCGUGUCGGGAAAUUUUGGUUAAAUCCCCGAACGGGCGCAACCCUUUAUUACUGUUUGCAUCAUUAAGUGGGAAACUCUAGGGGGAUUGCGGGUGAUAAACCGGAGAAGGUGUGCGGAUAACGUCCAAAUCAUCAUGCCCCCUUAAUGACCCGGGCUAACACACUUCAUACAAUGAAUGUUACAACAAGUCGUCCAACCUGCGAGGGUGCGCAAUUCUCUUAAAACCAUUCCUCAGUUCGAUUGCAGGCUGCAACUCGCCUACCUGAGGUCGGUAAUACGACAUAGUAAUCGCGGAUCAGCACCCCGUGAUCUCUCUCCCAGGCUAUAUA